ACGGCCAUACCACAUUGAAAACACCGUUCUCGUCCUAUCACCGAAGUUAAGCAAUGUCGGGCCCGGUCAGUACUUGGGAGGGUGACCACCUGGGAACACCGGGUGCUGUAGGCU
This 114-nucleotide ribosomal RNA is filed under the name Cordylochernes scorpioides. The record is from RNAcentral. Lineage: Eukaryota; Metazoa; Arthropoda; Arachnida; Pseudoscorpiones; Chernetidae.